GUGCUCACUUCAGCAGCGCAUAUACUAAAAUUGGAAUGAUAACAGGAAGAUUAGCACGACACCUACACAAGUUGACACACAAAUUCAUGAAGCGAUCCAUAUUAAA
Small nuclear RNA from Ailuropoda melanoleuca (giant panda), 106 nucleotides. NCBI's taxonomy places the organism in Eukaryota, Metazoa, Chordata, Mammalia, Carnivora, Ursidae. The record is from Ensembl.